RNAcentral lists this long non-coding RNA (294 nucleotides) under Mytilus galloprovincialis (Mediterranean mussel). Lineage: Eukaryota; Metazoa; Mollusca; Bivalvia; Mytilida; Mytilidae. The record is from RNAcentral.
AUAUCAUGGCUCUUAAUCUAAGAAAUUAAAUUCUGUCAAGCAAUCUAUUAUUAAACUCCAGUUGGACAAGCAAUAGUGGGAAUGAGGGUGAUUUUUGUAUUUAACUAAAGUUAUGUAAAUUUAACAACUGUUUACUUGUUUUCUUGGCAGUGUAAUCAACAACCGAAUAAAAUUGACAACCAAAAAUAUACGACACAAAUAAAAUAAAAAUACAAAAGCCUUGAGCAUGUUUCCUUCAACCGUGAUUUGGUAUCAUUACGAUAUAAUAUACUAAUAUCUUUUGUAGAAUAAUAC